CACGUAGUUAGCCGGCGCUUCUUCUGCAGGUACCGUCACUUGCGCUUCUUCCCUGCUGAAAGAGGUUUACAACCCGAAGGCCGUCAUCCCUCACGCGGCGCCGCUGCAUCAGGCUUGCGCCCAUUGUGCAAUAUUCCCCACUGCUGCCUCCCGUAGGAGUCUGGGCCGUGUCUCAGUCCCAGUGUGGCCGGUCGCCCUCUCAGGCCGGCUACCCGUCGUCGCCUUGGUGAGCCGUUACCUCACCAACAAGCUGAUAGGCCGCGGGCUCAUCCUGCACCGCCGGAGCUUUCCACACAGAGGAGAUGCCUCCCUGUGUCGUAUCCGGUAUUAGACCCCGUUUCCAGGGCUUGUCCCAGAGUGCAGGGCAGAUUGCCCACGUGUUACUCACCCGUUCGCCACUAAUCCACCCCCGAAGGGGCUUCAUCGUUCGACUUGCAUGUGUUAAGCACGCCGCCAGCGUCGUCUCGUAGCCACGGAGUCAAACUACU
This 488-nucleotide ribosomal RNA is filed under the name uncultured Streptomyces sp. Its description in RNAcentral is "partial 16S ribosomal RNA". Lineage: Bacteria; Bacillati; Actinomycetota; Actinomycetes; Kitasatosporales; Streptomycetaceae. The record is from RNAcentral.